Molecule: long non-coding RNA, 2029 nt
Filed under: Mytilus galloprovincialis (Mediterranean mussel)
Lineage: Eukaryota; Metazoa; Mollusca; Bivalvia; Mytilida; Mytilidae
Source: RNAcentral
AAAUACUUUAAUAAGGAUAAACAUGGUGGCUAUCUCUGGAGAAUUUGUGAAGAUUUUGGUGUCUGCCUUUGUGAUGUUGAUUGUUAUUUGUUCUGCAAGGUAUGAAGAGUACGAAGGAUAUGAACGAUACGAAAAAUGUAAGUCUUCAAUAUGUAAUAAUGGCUAAACUUUAUAGAUUAUAUUUCAUAUGCGAUCCAAAAAUGAUACUAUACAAAUAUAGCCUUUGUAUGAGGUCGAUACAAGGAUAUAUUGACCUGAAAGAAGUAUAUUGACUGAGAACGAAGUCCGAGGUCGAUAUACUUCUUUGGAUCGAUAUUAUAUCCUGUAUUGACCUCAUACAAAGGCUAUAUUUGUUAUAUUAUUAAUUGCUGACCAUAUUUGUAUCAAAAUCGUCAUUUAAGUUUGUUGGAAUUAUAUAGAUAUUACAUUGUCUUCUUGACAAUAACAACAUAUUAGUUGUUAUUUCAUUUACUUUUUUUUUAUGACAUCUUAUGUAUUCGAAGAUUUUUUUUCGUCAAAUAAUCGAUCACAGAUAUCAUGUGUUUCAAAACGUUAAACAAUAUCCUGAAAUUCAUUACAUGACGUCACAAAGUGUAUUGGUUUUUAGAUAUUCUGAAAAUAACCGUGCAAUAUGCUUUUUGCAGGUCAAUAUGCGUUUUGCUAUCCGCCGUUUUCUCUCUACCUUCGAAAAUAUAGUUUAACAUGUGACUAUCCCUAAACGAAUCAAAUUUGUUAAAAUAUACGAAUUAAUAAUAUAAAAAGUACCGACUGUCACCUAUAAAUGUUUAAUAAUAGAAUCGAUACGUAAUGUCUCUUCAGUGAUGACCGAGGGAAAACUGUUUGAAAAUCCGAAACCAAAUUCAAACGAAAGCAGAACAACUAAAAGGAUCUAAGUAUAAACAAAACUGGACAUGAUGGAGAUACGUUUAAUAAAUUUAAUUGAUUUCUAAAUUUUUCUAGUAGAUAAAUUUCAAUCGUAAUAUACUGUAGUUUUGGACAAUCGGUCUUUUUAUGGGUAGAGCUGUCCUUUUUUGUCUAUUAAUUUUUUUAUCAUUAUGGUCAACAAUUGAAUUGAAUGUCCAACUCCAUUAAAAGAAUUCAUAUGCAUAUAUCGAAAAUAUGCGUAAUUAGUAAGAGAUUAUGUCAAAAUUUGGUAACGCUACUUUUUUCGGUUAUUCAAACAGGCAGGUGAACAUGUAUACUUCUUUGUCACAAACUAGUACACUUUCCUUACGAAACAGCAUGUAAGAAUUGUGGAACAAGGCAAACAUAAAAUUUUGAUUAAAAUUAUGCUGAAAUUAUAAUAUCCCUUUAUUGUUUUACACGACAAAACUAGAGGAUAAGGUUAAAACCCUUCAAUAUCUAUUUCUGUAACAAAACAUUCAAGUUUUGAUAUUCGAAUUUAUCAAAUUGGUAAUUUUUUCUUAACAGCAAGAACUUAAAAAUCAAACUGUGAGUAUACGUCCAACCUUUUUUUUUUUUUUAGGUUAAAACCAAAUAUUGGCAAUUCAUGUUUCAAAACUAAUAUUCACCACAUACCAGAACGGCAGAUGCUGUAGGAUAUGUGUGCGUCUCUGAUUGCCAAUACAAAACAAUAUGUUGUGCAAUCUUGUACAGCAGCUUUUGAUUUGUAUGAUGGUUGGUAAUUUUUUUUACCAACCUCUGGUACAAAUUGUGUCUAUAGAGUUCUAAGUUUUAUACUGAACCACGAAACUAGAAAUAUAAAGACCAUUAUGUGAUAAUACAUUAUCGAACUAGAAAAAUACAUUAUAUGACAUAGUUGAUCGUUUAGGCUUGAUAACUUUAUUACUAUGAAUCUGAUCGCUUUUAUCCUAUACAUGUCUUAAUAAUUGUAACAUGUAGAACUAUGACAUGGUAUUCAUUUUAUUUUUCAGAGCCUUGAGCAUGUUGAGUUGAAUCAACAUAAAAGACGAUUUCUGAAGAAGGAUCGGUGAUCGAACAAAAUCUGUAUAUCAUUAAGAAAUCCAUCGAUAGUUUCAUCAAUCAUAUCAAAUAAAAUUUAUAGAAG